This 339-nucleotide ribosomal RNA is filed under the name Triticum aestivum (bread wheat). RNAcentral describes it as "partial small subunit ribosomal RNA". The record is from RNAcentral. Lineage: Eukaryota; Viridiplantae; Streptophyta; Magnoliopsida; Poales; Poaceae.
AUGGCGAAGAGAAACACUGUUGGCCUACUACUUGUCCUUGCAAUUAUGCUCUCCUACAAUGUCUUGGAGGACGGUGCACACCAGAGCCAAGUUGUAUUCUCUCGCAAAGUGACGAAUGCAGAGCACAAAGCAUCCUUUAGCGGGAUGACUUCAUCCCUUGGUGGGCGUGUUUCUGGUGCGACCAAUGCAGGAGGUGUGAGAAAUAAUGCUGAAAUAGCAAAUGUUGAAACUACCACUACCAUAGAGUCCCACCGUGAUGUCUCCGUGGGAGAUUUUCGUGGUAUUAAUCACAAACCACCAACUUAUAACAGGCCAUACCAACUCGAUAUCCGUGGAUGA